GCAACCCGGUCAGCUGUAUUCAAAACUGUUUGAAGAAGUUCAGAAAGUAAAUAUUGGAAAGUCAAAGUGGACUCAGAAGCUGUGCAAAAAGACAGGAGCUGCAAGAAAACAAAAGAACAAUUGAAACCCAACGUAAAGCCAUUCAAGAAUUGCAGUUCGGAAAUGAAAGCCUCAGCAUAAAACUAGAGGAUCAGAUCAGUGAGAAUGAUGAUCUGCAGAACAAAAACAAUGCAACACGGAACCUAUGUAAUAUACUAAAGGAUACGUUUGAAAGAUCAGCUGAGAAAAUCCAUCUAUUUGAAUCUGAAAGAGAGGAAACCCAUCACUUGUUCAUGGAAAACAGUGAAACUAUUCAGAGGAUGAAUGCUGCCUUUGAAAGCCUACGUAUUCAAGCAGAAACUGACCGCCAUGAAAUGCUGAAAGUCAAAGAGGAUUUGGAAYAAUUUGCCGUUUUAAAGGAGAAGUUUGAGAAAGAAUUCAGUAUGAAAGAAGAAGAGGUUGUGAUACUUCAGAUGAAAAUGAAGGACAAAGAAAAAGAACUUCAGGCAAUCCUGCUCAACCUCCAUGAAACCCUAGAGAGUUGCAAACGGUUACAACAGG
Molecule: long non-coding RNA, 600 nt
Organism: Salvelinus sp. IW2-2015
Lineage: Eukaryota; Metazoa; Chordata; Actinopteri; Salmoniformes; Salmonidae
Source: RefSeq, a predicted model, not a curated record